UGGUGGUGGUUGUGGUGA
RNAcentral lists this non-coding RNA (18 nucleotides) under Arabidopsis thaliana (thale cress). The record is from RNAcentral. Lineage: Eukaryota; Viridiplantae; Streptophyta; Magnoliopsida; Brassicales; Brassicaceae.